GCAUAUCAAUAAGCGGAGGAAAAGAAACUAACAAGGAUUCCCCUAGUAACGGCGAGUGAACCGGGAAGAGCUCAAAUUUGAAAUCUGGCGUCCUCAGGGCGUCCGAGUUGUAAUCUAUAGAGGCGUUUUCCGUGCCGGACCGUGUCCAAGUUCCUUGGAACAGGAUAUCAAAGAGGGUGACAAUCCCGUACUUGACACGACGACCGGUGCUCUGUGAUACGUCUUCUACGAGUCGAGUUGUUUGGGAAUGCAGCUCAAAAUGGGUGGUGAGUUCCAUCUAAAGCUAAAUAUUGGCGAGAGACCGAUAGCGAACAAGUACCGUGAGGGAAAGAUGAAAAGCACUUUGGAAAGAGAGUUAAACAGUACGUGAAAUUGUUGAAAGGGAAACGAUUGAAGUCAGUCGUGACCGAGAGGCUCAGCCGGUUCUGCCGGUGUAUUCCCCUCGGUCGGGUCAACAUCAGUUUUGUCCGGUGGAUAAGGGCGGUAGGAAGGUGGCACCCUCGGGUGUGUUAUAGCCUGCCGUCGCAUACAUCGGGUGAGACUGAGGAACGCAGCUCGCCUUUAUGGCCGGGGUUCGCCCACGUCCGAGCUUAGGAU
RNAcentral lists this ribosomal RNA (597 nucleotides) under Papiliotrema laurentii. RNAcentral describes it as "eukaryotic LSU rRNA". It matches the Rfam family "Eukaryotic large subunit ribosomal RNA", at positions 38 to 624 of the family's 3401-position model. Lineage: Eukaryota; Fungi; Basidiomycota; Tremellomycetes; Tremellales; Rhynchogastremaceae. The record is from RNAcentral.